YUKYWGARKKCGCCCUUAGGAAGCACCGGCUAACUCCGUGCCAGCAGCCGCGGUAAUACGGGGGGUGCAAGCGUUGUUCGGAUUUAUUGGGCGUAAAGCGCGUGUAGGCGGUUUUAUAAGUCUGAUGUGAAAGCCCUGGGCUCAACCCGGGAAGUGCAUUGGAUACUGUAAGACUUGAAUACGGGAGAGGGCAGUGGAAUUCCUAGUGUAGAGUGAAAUCCGUAGAUAUUACGAGGAACACCGGUGGCGAACGCGGCUGCUGGACGAUAUUGACGCUGAGACGCGAAAGCGUGCGUAGCAACAGAUUAGAUACCUGUAGUCACGCGUAACGAUGAGAACUAGUGUCGCGGUAAGGCGAUUCAGCACACUGCGGCRUUACUAGUGAUCGAGCUCGUACAAGCUGCGUAUCAUGUCAUASUGUUCUGA
RNAcentral lists this ribosomal RNA (426 nucleotides) under uncultured Geobacteraceae bacterium. RNAcentral's name for it is "partial 16S ribosomal RNA". It matches the Rfam family "Bacterial small subunit ribosomal RNA", at positions 466 to 860 of the family's 1533-position model. Lineage: Bacteria; Pseudomonadati; Thermodesulfobacteriota; Desulfuromonadia; Geobacterales; Geobacteraceae. The record is from RNAcentral.